Molecule: ribosomal RNA, 397 nt
Filed under: uncultured bacterium
Lineage: Bacteria
Description: partial 16S ribosomal RNA
Rfam family: Bacterial small subunit ribosomal RNA
Source: RNAcentral
AUACGUAGGGGGCGAGCGUUGUCCGGAAUGAUUGGGCGUAAAGGGCGCGUAGGCGGCCCGGUAAGUCUGGAGUGAAAGUCCUGUUUUUAAGGUGGGAAUUGCUUUGGAUACUGUCGGGCUUGAGUGCAGGAGAGGUAAGUGGAAUUCCCAGUGUAGCGGUGAAAUGCGUAGAGAUUGGGAGGAACACCAGUGGCGAAGGCGACUUACUGGACUGUAACUGACGCUGAGGCGCGAAAGUGUGGGGAGCAAACAGGAUUAGAUACCCUGGUAGUCCACACUGUAAACGAUGAAUGCUAGGUGUAGGGGGUAUCGACCCCUUCUGUGCCGCAGUCAACACAAUAAGCAUUCCGCCUGGGGAGUACGGCCGCAAGGUUGAAACUCAAAUGAAUUGACGGGG